GACGAACGCUGGCGGCGUGCUUAACACAUGCAAGUCGAACGGAAAGGCCCUGCUUUUGUGGGGUGCUCGAGUGGCGAACGGGUGAGUAACACGUGAGUAACCUGCCCUUGACUUUGGGAUAACUUCAGGAAACUGGGGCUAAUGCCGGAUAGGAGCUCCUGCUGCAUGGUGGGGGUUGGAAAGUUUCGGCGGUUGGGGAUGGACUCGCGGCUUAUCAGCUUGUUGGUGGGGUAGUGGCUUACCAAGGCUUUGACGGGUAGCCGGCCUGAGAGGGUGACCGGCCACAUUGGGACUGAGAGACGGCCCAGACUCCUACGGGAGGCAGCAGUGGGGAAUAUUGCACAAUGGGCGGAAGCCUGAUGCAGCAACGCCGCGUGCGGGAUGACGGCCUUCGGGUUGUAAACCGCUUUCGCCUGUGACGAAGCGUGAGUGACGGUAAUGGGUAAAGAAGCACCGGCUAACUACGUG
Molecule: ribosomal RNA, 468 nt
Filed under: uncultured bacterium
Lineage: Bacteria
Description: partial 16S ribosomal RNA
Rfam family: Bacterial small subunit ribosomal RNA
Source: RNAcentral